GUUUUCCCCCUGGACUAGCCAGGAGGGUUUUUCUUCUAGGGUUUUUUUCAUCCCCUGGAAAGUCCGCCACCUUUGGCUUAACUUACUACUUUACUGUAUACGUUACAUUAUUGAUAUGCUCGCUUUUCUAUGCUUUUCCUACAUCUUUUAAUGUAAGGCUGCUUUAAAAACAAUUAACAAUUGUGAAAAGCGCUAUAUAAAUAAAAUUAAAUUGAAUGGUUUCCCUAAAUUGGGAUGGUGGAGAAUGUUUUUAAAAUAUUCAUAAUUAAUUUAAUUAAUUAUUAACUAUCAUAAGCCCCUCCUUUAAAAUCGCUACAAUGCCAACAGCGUUCGCACACACCAUCAUCUUUUAUUCUAUUAUUUUUCUUUUCUUCAAAGAACAGAAAGCUAAGAACCAUUUAAUUUACCCAAAAUGUGUAUUUCCUGUUUAUUUCAUUGUUUUCUUGUUGUUUGUUCUAACUUCGUUUGCAAUGGUGGAUCUGAUAUUUUUCUAUUCUAAUUUCUAAAUGUCCCGUAAACAGCGUGAAUCAUUGCUGCCCUGCCGGCCUGUUGGAGUAAUCAUUUGCUUGUGCAUGUGUCAACUGCUCAUAUACGUGGUUGAGUAUACUUUGGAAGUAUACCUCACUUUCGGUCUGGCUAGAAAUACCUUGUGGAAUUUUGUAUUUGUAUCCUUACAGAUGUGCCACCACAAAUAAACUGUAAGUCUGUGGGAAACAAUGAUUUGUCUUUGUUGCAUGCAAAAAAAGGUAACACAAGUUGUGGUCAGUAGUGAAUACUUGUCAGAUUUCCAUAAGGGACAAAUCGUGGAAACUCAUUUAGCUAAAGCAUCUGUAACAUUAACAGCACUGUUUGUUUCAAGAGCCACUGUCUUCCUAAUUAUGAGAAUAGUGAGAAGCAGGUUCCCUACUCCAGCCUCUCUAAAAAUAUGGUCAUAUAGACACUAUUAAAAAGUGUAAAUCUAUUGCUAGAAGGUUUGCGGCUGUAUUAAAGGCAGGAGCAAAACUGCCAACUCUUUAUUAAUUAAAAAGAUAUCAGCUAUUUUCCUGGGCCCGUAUUCACAAAGCAUUUUAUCUUACCACUAAGAGUACUCAUAAAUCGGACUAAAAGAUUUUAGCUAGGAGUUUUCUCUUAAAAGUAAUUCACAACGCCUUUCAGACCUAGUUUUAGUAAGGAAAAAUGAUAACUCCUAAACUAAGAGUGAGUCUUCGUUGCUACGGAUGACGUCAAUUCUCAUGCACGAGCUGCCUCACAAUGACCAUGGUGAUUGGUUCUUAGAUGACAGGGCUGUCAUGCCUAACAUAACACAGACGCACCAAAUCAUGGAAUUACAACAUCGGAAUAUGUCUGUGUCCUACACAAAUUAUAGUAAUGCCAUCGAAAUGCAUAUAGAAAAGUCGUGAAUGAAAUUAAAUUAAAUCAAGGUAGAAUACCCAAAUGAAAACCGCCAAUUGCCUAAUAAUAAAAAACGACAUUGCAUUAACACUUGCUUGAUUAAUUGACAUCCUAUUAGCCUAAAUAGAUUACUUAAAGCAAGGAAAUGUUGCCCAUAUUGAAGAAGCCUAAUGUAAUAAAUACGGUGGAUUAUGAACUCGCCAAAACGGAAAAGAAAGCCCAAAUGGAUGCAGGAUCAGUUACUGCUGCUGGCCCAGUUGGUGCUGGAUAAAAAAAACCGUAAUAAAAGGGAAAGUCGGCACUGAGAUAUCAAGCAAAACUAAGGGUGAGACAUGCGAGACAAUUAUGCGCGGGUCAAUGUACAAAACGACCGGCACCCGACCAACGUUUUCAACUAACCCGCCCGCAAGUCGGACCGCAAAAAAUAAAAAAUAAAUAGUGUACCCGACCCGCUCCCUGGCCCGCAUUUUUUAAAGUAGUGAUUGUUUAAAAUAGUUAACUGCAAUCUUUAUUUCAAACGACCCGACCGACCGCGACCCGAAUAUCAUAAAAAAUAUUUUUGGAUGACUCAUUUCGGAUCAACCCGCGCAUCACUGAUGGGAGAGGAUUUGUUGCGGAUCAAUGCAGCAUUCCCGCUUGUGUCGCGGACCCCGGACGACUGCGAGAGGCGGUGGUAUGCAUUACAAUCGCAGUAGAGGGUUGAGAUUGCAGCCUUUAACAGACUAGCAUGGCAACAGGUAUGCCUAUAAUAUUAAAUAUUUAAUUUCAUUAUUGUUUCAUGUAAUUCAAAAAAACUUCCUGCUUGUCAUGAAUGUAAUGAAUUAUGUCAUAAACAAUAUGCUUACAUUAAAGUGUGCUUUUAAGUGUUAUGUGCAAUGCUUUUGAGUUGGUGAAACUGUCCAUGUUAAGGAGGAUCAGCACCUAAGGAAUUUUAAGAUCCUUUGUGAAUAGGUUUUAGGGAGUUAGGAGUCCUCUCGACUUCUUUUAAGCUGUCCCAGACUUAGGUGCUACUUUUAGGGCUAAAAUGCUUUGUGAAUUACUCUUAGUGAAAAAAAUUAGGAGUCCUAAAUUUAGGAGUGACACGCCCAGUAUUUUUAGGAGUUGCUCCUAAAUUCGCCAGUUAGGAGCUACUUUUAGCCUUAAAAUUCUUUGUGAAUACGGCCCCUGGUGUUCACAAUACUUUGUCCAAACCCAAUAUACCCGAAUAUAAGACGACCCCCUAUCAGACUUAUUUUUGGGAAAAAGAGAUUUUGGGGGAAAAAAUCUGGUUUUCAACAGAAAAUAAUUUUAUUUGAAAAUUCUAGUGAUAAUUAAUCGGAAAAACAUUUCAACACCUUUCAUUAAAUAUUUGGAUUAAUUUGUCACAAAAUAAAGUGCACUCUGCCAAUGAAUGAGUACAGAAAUGCAAGAAUUAUGUAGGCCCAUGUAUGAAUGUAAUGUGGUACUGUGAAGAUAGAUAGAAAAUAACCAUCUGCUUUUAAUCAAACACAUCUAACCUAUCGUGUUGGGGCCCUCUACUGUUUGCUCCUGCUUUCUCCCUUUCCCUCGUGAUUUUGUCUAUAUUGUGAAUAAGAUGACCCCUACAUUUUUCAGCCAAUUUUUAAUAUAAAAACAUAGUCUUAUAUUCGGGUAUAUACGGAACUGUAUAUAUCUGCAUAUGCCAGUAAAAAGUAAAAUCUGAUUACUGGGCUAGUUUUAGACUUCAAUCACACUCACUACAGGAUCAGUUGGAUGGAAAAUGUUGAAAAGCCGCUGACAGAUGGAUUUAGGUAAUAUGUGGUCCUGUGUGCUAUUUGAUCCGGGACGAACACCACGCAAAGCCAAGAAAACAGCCAGAGGAGACCCCAUGCAGAAGAAGUUCUCCACCUAUCGCAUCAAAGUUCACAAAUAUCAUAAAAAUUAGACUUGCAUAACCAGACUUAAUUGAAAGGAAGGAUACAUACAAGGAUACAAGGAUUACAAACAAACCUUGAAUUUCAGUUCUGGAGAGGCUCUUGAGGAUGAUGUUUGAAAAUGCUGAAGCUGAUCUUCUAAAUCUCUCAGUCUGGAAAAUAAACAUUCGGCGAAUCAAUUAAAUCAAACUUUUAAAACAAACAACCAAAACAUAAAAAAACUUUCAUUCUAUCUUCAUUUGUUUCUUUUUUAUAACCUCUAAAAUACAGGUAUGUUUCUUCAAAAGUAAUUGCAUAAUUAGAGGAGUAAAGUACUUGAGUAAUUUUACUUGAUUAGUGUACUUAAGUAUUAGCCUGGCUCCGCCCUCCUACGUGCUUCCGCUUAAUUUUCCUUUCGCUUCAGCAGUACGUCUGGGACUGCUCUGUAGAGUUUCGUUUUCUCCUGCAAAAAUCUGCAGGACCAAUCAGUGAACAGAUGGGGUGGUUAAGAACGAUGACGUUGAGGUCAUGCGUCAGUUUGAGUUGUGGUUCAGUAAUAGCAGCAGAGAAAGACGUGAGAAAAGCUAUUCGGUUCGUUGUUGCAAAACUGCCGCAUAUACAAAAGUUAAAGCCGGAGCAAGAACCAGGUUUGCUAAGUUUUGUUUGUCUGAUUAUUCUGACUUGUUGUUUCUGGACUGUUUCGAUGCAUGAUAUACGUCACGACCACACAUUAGCGAUUGGCUUUGGCAAAUCCUGAGUGACUCUGGGCAGAUGCAAUAAUUUUAAAAUUCAACAAUGGACCCUCCUUAACGGAAGUAACGCUUUGCAAUGGAGCGUGCCCUGACUCUCUGUAAAAAUAAAAUGAAUGUACGAGAGUCUGUUUGGACCAGGCUACUUAAGUAUUUUUUGGGGGGAUUUUUACUUUACUUGAGUACAAUUAAAACACAAUACUUUUACUUUUACUUAAUUAUUAAUUUUUUAAGAAAAUAAAGUACUUUUUACUCCUUAAAAUUUUAUUUACAGUGAAAAAGUAGUUAUGUUUUAGAGAUCAAUUCAUUCUAUUUUCCCUUGCUCUUACCAAAACAACUGAAUUGUGCUGAUGGCCAGUUUAACUUAAAGAGCACCUAUUAUGGGAUACAUGUUUUUAAACAUCCUUUUGUGUGUAAGUGUGUAUUAGUACAUGCUAACGAUAUUCAAAAAGUACAUACCUCAAAGAAAACGAUGACGCGAGUUAUCGUCUCUAACGUUCGAGGACUACAAAAAACACUUGGAUUGUAGGCAACAGUUUACUUCCUGGGAUUAGUGACGUAGAUAAGACCAACAUUAUCAUAGUUCAGCCCUCUCUGCUUUGCUUGGGUACGCCCUCAAAGACGGGGGUGGGGAGCGCCGAGUCAGAAGAGAGCUAAAAUGGCGAAGGUUGUGAGUCCCUGCUUUGACUCUGUUUGCAAACUCUUGUUUCAUCGUUUAAGUGAUUAAAUCUCUCGAGUAGACGCUGUCUUUUUAGAUGCGAGGGCAAAAUAGCACUUUAUGGACUUCCACAGAGGACAUCAUGUUUAAUACGGUUCUGGAAAAAUCCAGUCAGAAGUUGUUCACGGAGUUUUCACAAUAACUGCUUCUCAUGAACCGAAGCUGGAUUUGCGCGACGUCUCCUCCUGAAAGUUGGAUUACUGUGCACUUCUGGAUCACAGGCUGUAAGUAUUCACGUUUAUUAUUUGCCUUUUACUGUACAUUACGUAACCGGUAACCGGAGAUUAACAUAAUGUGCGUGUAGAGCUAAGCUUGCAAGCUAAUUGUUUUGUGUUGUAAUACUGUAUUUCAUAAACAACGUACCAUAUUUACACACGUGUAUGUUGAAUUAUGCAGACUAUCGUUUUUUUUAUCGAUGUUGGUUUAGACAUGUUUACAAACUUGCUAAGUUGCUAAGCUAAAUACAAAUACAAAUACCAGCUAAACUGUUACCGGUAAAAUUUGUUCUCAUGAUCAAACUCAAGAAACUCUAAGUACAGAUGAUUUGUUUAAAGUUAUAUGUAUUUUACUGUUGUAUUUACUUGAAGCUUUCUUAGAUUUUGAAAUGAAGUAAACAUGUAAUGUGUGUUGCUAAUGUUGGGCCAUGUAAUGUGUAAUACAUUUACGUUUUAAUGAAUAGUCUAACGAUUUAUAGUCGUUGUACUCUAUUGUUAUAAUAUGUCUUUUUGACUGAAUACAUGUUUGUUUUAUUUGUCUAUAUCCUAGAUUCGCAGCUGGACACAUCCUUCUUCACUGUAUGCAAACAUGCAACAUCAUUACACACAGUACAAGGAGUCAGACUGGCAUAUGAGGAGCAAAGGAACCCAGGCAGUAGCAUCGUUUCACAAUGUUUCCAUCACCAUCAUCAGUGGAUGCCUUUGCCGUCCGUAGCCUGAGAUUUCAGAUUUGCAGCAAAAAAAAAAUGUAUUUUCUCAUUUAUUGGAAUGCUGUGCAGGUUGUACCUUGCAGCCAUCCAUUACAAUGUCACCAAGCCGUAACAAAAGCAGGAGAGGGAAAGUACAAGGCUAUGUUCCCAAAACACACAAGUGACAUACCUUAUGUGGAUGAUGUGAUCAGGCUUGUGUUUGAUGAGGUAUUUGAAGAUAAGCUGAAGGAAACCCCGAUUCCAAUGGGCCUGGCAUCACAGUUUGAGACACCUUCAAAGGAGGACGUGAUUGCAUGCCAUCUUCAGUGCA
Long non-coding RNA from Paramisgurnus dabryanus, 5965 nucleotides. RefSeq lists it as uncharacterized. NCBI's taxonomy places the organism in Eukaryota, Metazoa, Chordata, Actinopteri, Cypriniformes, Cobitidae. The record is from RefSeq and is a predicted model, not a curated record.